Molecule: ribosomal RNA, 499 nt
Filed under: uncultured Glomeromycotina
Lineage: Eukaryota; Fungi; Glomeromycota
Description: partial small subunit ribosomal RNA
Rfam family: Eukaryotic small subunit ribosomal RNA
Source: RNAcentral
CCAAUCGCGUAUAUUAAAGUUGUUGCAGUUAAAAAGCUCGUAGUUGAAUUUUGGAUUCUUCCAAUUGGUCCAUCUUUUAGAUGAGUACUGGUUGUGUGGGGUCUAUCCGCCUGGUAAUACGUAAUGUCCUUUAUUGGGUGUUGCGGGUAGUCAGGACCUUUACCUUGAAAAAAUUAGAGUGUUUAAAGCAGGCUUAUGCCGGAAUACAUUAGCAUGGAAUAAUAGAAUAGGACGAAGUUGUUUUAUUUUGUUGGUUUCUAGGACAACCGUAAUGAUUAAUAGGGAUAGUUGGGGGCAUUAGUAUUCAAUUGUCAGAGGUGAAAUUCUUGGAUUUAUUGAAGACUAACUACUGCGAAAGCAUUUGCCAAGGAUGUUUUCAUUAAUCAAGAACGAAAGUUAGGGGAUCGAAGACGAUCAGAUACCGUCGUAGUCUUAACCAUAAACUAUGCCGACUAGGGAUCGGGCGAUGUUGUUUCCAUGACUCGCUCGGCACCUUAUG